RNAcentral lists this ribosomal RNA (1332 nucleotides) under uncultured rumen bacterium. Its description in RNAcentral is "bacterial SSU rRNA". It matches the Rfam family "Bacterial small subunit ribosomal RNA", at positions 43 to 1375 of the family's 1533-position model. The record is from RNAcentral.
CAGGCCUAACACAUGCAAGUCGAACGGUAAGCGGUCCUUCGGGACUGUGAGAGUGGCGGACGGGUGCGUAACGCGUAUGCAACCAACCCCCGACGGGCGGAUAGCCGGUGGAAACGCCGGAUAAGCCGCCAUGCGGCCGACGAGGGGCAUCCCUUGUCGGUCAAAGCGGAGACGCGGUGGGGGACGGGCAUGCGUCCCAUUAGAUAGUUGGCGGGGCGACGGCCCACCAAGUCGACGAUGGGUAGGGGAUCUGAGAGGACGGUCCCCCACACUGGUACUGAGGCACGGACCAGACUCCUGCGGGAGGCAGCAGUAAGGGAUAUUGGUCAAUGGGGGGAACCCUGAACCAGCCAAGUAGCGUGAGGGAUGACGGCCCUACGGGUUGUAAACCUCUUUUGUGCGGGGGUAACGAGCGCCACGUGUGGCGCGUUGAAAGUACCGCACGAAUAAGCAUCGGCUAACUCCGUGCCAGCAGCCGCGGUAAUACGGAGGAUGCGAGCGUUAUCCGGAUUUAUUGGGUUUAAAGGGUGCGUAGGCGGUUUGCUAAGCGGGAGGUGAAAUGCCGGCGCUCAACGUCGGAAGUGCCUCCCGAACUGGUGGACUGGAAUGACUCUGCCGUGGGAGGAAUGUGUAGUGUAGCGGUGAAAUGCUUAGAGAUUACACAGAACACCGAUUGCGAAGGCAUCUCACGAAGGGUUGAUUGACGCUGAGGCACGAAAGCGUGGGGAUCAAACAGGAUUAGAUACCCUGGUAGUCCACGCAGUAAACGAUGAUGGCUAACCGCUGGCUCUUUCGGGUCAGUGGCCAAGCGAAAGCGAUAAGCCAUCCACCUGGGGAGUACGACCGCAAGGUUGAAACUCAAAGGAAUUGACGGGGGCCCGCACAAGCGGAGGAACAUGUGGUUUAAUUCGAUGAUACGCGAGGAACCUUACCCGGGCUCGAACGGCAGAGGAACGACCCAGAGAUGGGAAGGCCCUUCGGGGCUUCUGUCGAGGUGCUGCAUGGUUGUCGUCAGCUCGUGCCGUGAGGCGUCGGCUCAAGUGCCAUAACGAGCGCAACCCUUGCCGUCAGUUACCAUCAAGUGAUGUUGGGGACUCUGGCGGGACUGCCACCGCAAGGUGUGAGGAAGGGGGGGAUGACGUCAAAUCAGCACGGCCCUUACGUCCGGGGCGACACACGUGUUACAAUGGCGGCCACAGAGGGGCACUACCUGGCGACAGGAUGGGAAUCUCGAAAAGCCGUCUCAGUCCGGAUCGGAGUCUGCAACCCGACUCCGUGAAGCUGGAUUCGCUAGUAAUCGCGCAUCAGCCAUGGCGCGGUGAAUACGUUCCC